UCAUUCGAUUCACAUAACAAGCCAUGAGGUAGGUAGUGCCUCAUUAUUACCAUACCCAUUUUAUAUGUGAGAAGAAACAGGAUUAAAAAGAGGCUAAAUACCCUGACCCCGAUCGCGUGGCUGAGUGCUGGGCCCAUGACGGCAACUCAGGCAUUCGAAUUGCAGGGUGUACGUUAACUACUUACAGCUGUGACGACGCAUUUCCAUUUUCUGUUCUGGCUCUGGACAUAUAUUAUAGAAAGCCUGUCAUGUCAUACUUGCCAUUAUAGUAAAUGUGACUGUUACUGCCAUCACCUAAACCUUGAACGUGAGAGUGUAAGCAAUGGUUUGAUUACUGUUUGUCAAGUUUUUAAAGCCUUUAAAAAAUAGACACUCUAGUCUUUAUCGAAUGGAUAAUAUAGUUACGAACAUACUUUGCUUGGAGGACUUCAUGUGUGGAAAGUUGAAGCAUUUCUUUUUGUGUUUUAGUCUCAAAAUACAUCAUCAUGCCCUCCAGAAAUAGGAAACUUAAAUAUAUAAAGUCAACCUAUAUCUCUACCACCAGAUGCAUCUUUCCCUCUGUUCCAGAAAGCCAGACUUUGCAAGGACAGAAAAAGAAAAAUUAGCAAGGAACAAGAUGUAGCUUUACCACGGGAAGAGGUGAUGAUUUCUAGUCAGCAGAGCCUCAAAAUGUCUUAUGUUGCAAAGUGGCAAAUAUGCAAGAUCAAGAUAAAUACGUAGGCAGGUUUCUGAAGUCACUGCACUUGUGAACUGGCGGCAGUCUUAAAGAGGACAGUGACGUCACCGUUACAGCAGAAUUGGGAGUCCCAGUCCUCACUCUACCACAGAAACAUGGCUUUCACAAUGAUACUCAGAAACACCUUUCUGAGCGCUCCAGAAUCCAGUUAAGAAGUGGCAGUACCCCCAGGGGGGCACAACGCUGAAAACAGCUACACUGCAAUGGGUAACAAGAGACAUUUCACUUUCCCAAGUCAGUCCCUCUUCCAAGCUAUCACAGCUCAAUGCCUGGGAGAGAGAGACUGAACACGAGCAGGAGAGGAGGAGAGAGAGGGAGGCACAGAAUCUGAAGCAGGCUCCAGGUUCCGAGCUGUCAGCACAGAGCCCGACACGGGGCUCAAACCCAUGAACCACGAGAUCAUGACCUGAGCUGAAAUCGGAUGCUUAAACAACUGAGCCACCCAGGUGCCCCAUAAUCCAGCAUUCUAACUCUUUGGAAGGUUGCCUGAAGGACUAAUUUCUGUGAUGCCUCAUUUGGAGAACUGACAGAGUGAGCAUAGUAUGGCUUUCCAAAUGCUGCAAAGAGCAAAGAAAUGUGAGUGGUGUGACUGGGAGAAGGUUCAUAACUUCAGGCUUCUCUCCCUCGCGAGGAAGGGAGAAGAGGCGAAUGUGCUUCUGCACCAACUUUUCAUAGGGCUGCUCAAGGCAAUGGUAUCUGUCUCACUUGAUGUGGGCACUGCUGGGGAGCUGGCGGGCUCUGGAUACCUGGCGGCUACUGAGUACAAGAAAGAGGCAGGCGGCUUGCUGCUGUCACAUCAGAGAACAGCCGUGGCACCAACAGGCACCAGAGGGAGCAAGAGACUAUGAGCUCCAGAAAGACCCGCAACACUCAGCCCAGGAAAGUCACGUUCUCCCCAAAAAAAGGUUUCCGAGGCCCCCAGAAUCUCUAGCUGGGUUCAUGUGCGAGGGUCACCUCCUAUACAA
Panthera uncia (snow leopard) is the source of this 1701-nucleotide long non-coding RNA. RefSeq lists it as uncharacterized. The transcript has 2 exons. Lineage: Eukaryota; Metazoa; Chordata; Mammalia; Carnivora; Felidae. The record is from RefSeq and is a predicted model, not a curated record.